Long non-coding RNA from Lathyrus oleraceus (garden pea), 1015 nucleotides. RefSeq lists it as uncharacterized. The transcript is spliced from 2 exons. Lineage: Eukaryota; Viridiplantae; Streptophyta; Magnoliopsida; Fabales; Fabaceae. The record is from RefSeq and is a predicted model, not a curated record.
AUAGUUCCAAGCCCAAUCACAGGGGAGGUAGGUACAGGAUGAGUGGGGUGCACAAAGAAUUGCAUUGGGUCUAAUUGAGAUAGUUGAGCCCAAAGUGAAGGAACAUGAAGCAACGUGAGGUUCACUUCGUUCUUCCUCACACUCACUCUUGGGAGUUCACAGAAGAAACAGGCGACAAACCUAGCCGCGCCGGUUCGUCACCAGCGGCGGCGAUUCAAAAUCAUCCAAGCUCUCACAUAGCUCUCUGACGUCUCUCCUAACCGAAACGCUACACCUCUCCACCUAAACCAAAUGAAUCGCUAACGUGAGAUUUCUACAUGGAUCGAAUCGAGCGUCAAAUCAGAACAAGGAACCGGACUCGAACAAGCAUAUCACCACAGCAAAUCGACUAAUGCGAAGAAAUGAGGGGGCUUACCGGCGAUGGCGAAGGUGAAUCCGCCGGUGAAUGUCGGAUUCGAAGCUCAGGUACUUGCUCUUCGCGCUAGUUGAUUCUUCGAUCUUCUUUCCUCGGUUCUUAUCACGAGUUUCUUCUGUUACGUGGCUAAGCUUUUGCUUUCGCGAUUGCUCUGUUUUAUGAUGAACUGUGAUUCUUCUUCUUGAAUAUUCACCGAAAUUGAUGGUGUGGUGAGAGCUAUGAGGUGAAGAAUUUUGUGUGUGGUGAAGAAUGAAGAAAUUGGUGAAAAAAUGGAACUCGCGAGCCCUUUUUUGAGUGUUGAAGAUGAUGGAUGAUUUAUAGGGAUUGAAGCUUUAACGAAGUUGGGAUUCUGUUAGCAUCACCGGGCUCAAAUUCGUUAGAGGUUGUAUGCAGCUUCCAUCGUUCGCGUUUGUAGCUGGUGUUUAGUUUGUUGUUGGCUUUGCAUCGGCUUUUGAUGUUGUUGCCGUUUGGCUUGUCGUAUUGAUCUGCAAUGACCUGUCUUUGUUGUGUUCAUGGCUAUCACUGAAACCGAUAGGAUCUUCUGCACUAGAUGUAGUAGCUACAAUUGAAUAAAUGAAUUCAGUUUGAAUUCGAGUUAAA